AUAGGGGAGCCGAAGGGAAACCGAGUCUUAACUGGGCGUUAAGUUGCAGGGUAUAGACCCGAAACCCGGUGAUCUAGCCAUGGGCAGGUUGAAGGUUGGGUAACACUAACUGGAGGACCGAACCGACUAAUGUUGAAAAAUUAGCGGAUGACUUGUGGCUGGGGGUGAAAGGCCAAUCAAACCGGGAGAUAGCUGGUUCUCCCCGAAAGCUAUUUAGGUAGCGCCUCGUGAACUCAUCUUCGGGGGUAGAGCACUGUUUCGGCUAGGGGGUCAUCCCGACUUACCAACCCGAUGCAAACUGCGAAUACCGAAGAAUGUUAUCACGGGAGACACACGGCGGGUGCUAACGUCCGUCGUGAAGAGGGAAACAACCCAGACCGCCAGCUAAGGUCCCAAAGUCACAGUUAAGUGGGAAACGAUGUGGGAAGGCCCAGACAGCCAGGAUGUUGGCUUAGAAGCAGCCAUCAUUUAAAGAAAGCGUAAUAGCUCACUGGUCGAGUCGGCCUGCGCGGAAGAUGUAACGGGGCUAAACUGUGCACCGAAGCUGCGGCAGCGACGCUUAUGCGUUGUUGGGUAGGGGAGCGUUCUGUAAGCCUGCGAAGGUGUCCUGUGAGGGAUGCUGGAGGUAUCAGAAGUGCGAAUGCUGACAUAAGUAACGAUAAUGCGGGUGAAAAGCCCGCUCGCCGGAAGACCAAGGGUUCCUGUCCAACGUUAAUCGGGGCAGGGUGAGUCGACCCCUAAGGCGAGGCCGAAAGGCGUAGUCGAUGGGAAACGGGUUAAUAUUCCCGUACUUGGUGUUACUGCGAAGGGGGGACGGAGAAGGCUAUGUUGGCCGGGCGACGGUUGUCCCGGUUUAAGCGUGUAGGCUGGUUUUCCAGGCAAAUCCGGAAAAUCAAG
RNAcentral lists this ribosomal RNA (897 nucleotides) under Salmonella enterica. Its description in RNAcentral is "partial 23S ribosomal RNA". It matches the Rfam family "Bacterial large subunit ribosomal RNA", at positions 657 to 1554 of the family's 2925-position model. Lineage: Bacteria; Pseudomonadati; Pseudomonadota; Gammaproteobacteria; Enterobacterales; Enterobacteriaceae. RNAcentral also lists the same sequence under 1 other name. The record is from RNAcentral.